GACGGAUGGGCUGGGACGGGUUUUGGGGGGGUGUCCCCAAUUCUGACUGGGAGUGGAGGAACCCCUCCUGAGCUCUCUUGUGGGGGUGCCCCCUCCCCAGGGCACUCCCCAGUCCCUGAGCCAGCCGAGAGGAAGGAGGCCAGCGAUGCGACUGGGGCGGCUCCUUUCUCCUGCACCCCAAAUGUGAGGGAUGCACCCUAAAUUUUGCUCUUUUCAAAAUAGGGGACCAGGAUCUCAGGGGAGAGUAGCUGAGGCCUUGCUCGGAGUCCCAGGAGAUCCACAGGUCCGGCAUGAACAGUGAGAGGUCAGAGGUGGAAGGCUCAGCAGGAGAGGAGAGGAGGAUCAGCAGAGGUCAUGAGAAGGCCAGAAUCCAGGGUCAGGCUGUCUGGAACAGGAAGUAAAAUGGGCCGAGAUGGAGCGAGCCCCCAGUGUGCUUCCAAGGCCACUCCCAACUCCCUGAAACACCCUGCUACGUACUGAUCCAAUGCCCUGCGCUGUGUAUGAGAGCACCUUCUCUUCUGAAACCCCUAUACAAGGGAGGGGCCCCUGCGGAGACCGUGCCCUGCCAUCCAGUCCUCAAGGGGAUUCUAAAAAACUAGUGACAAAGUAGGGAAGCAGCUGAGCUGGAAAGGAGUUCUGAGGACGAUGGAACCUUGGGUAAGGAGGAAGAAGGCUGCCCACCCGCCCUUUUCUGGCAGCCACCCUCCCUCACACUGUCCGUUCCUUGAUGACACAGCUGAUGUGAUUAAGAUCGUCCCCAAAUCGCUUCA
Molecule: non-coding RNA, 770 nt
Filed under: Pongo abelii (Sumatran orangutan)
Lineage: Eukaryota; Metazoa; Chordata; Mammalia; Primates; Hominidae
Source: RNAcentral